UACAGAGGGUGCGAGCGUUGUCCGGAAUCACUGGGCGUAAAGGGCGCGUAGGUGGCGACCCAAGUCAGUGGUGAAAGCUCGUCGCUCAACGGCGAGUCGGCCACUGAUACUGGGUUGCUCGAGCACUGUAGAGGCAGAUGGAAUUCCGGGUGUAGCGGUGGAAUGCGUAGAGAUCCGGAAGAACACCGGUGGCGAAGGCGGUCUGCUGGGCAGUAGCUGACACUGAGGCGCGACAGCGUGGGGAGCAAACAGG
RNAcentral lists this ribosomal RNA (253 nucleotides) under uncultured bacterium. RNAcentral's name for it is "partial 16S ribosomal RNA". It matches the Rfam family "Bacterial small subunit ribosomal RNA", at positions 524 to 776 of the family's 1533-position model. The record is from RNAcentral.